This 469-nucleotide ribosomal RNA is filed under the name Salmonella enterica. RNAcentral's name for it is "bacterial SSU rRNA". It matches the Rfam family "Bacterial small subunit ribosomal RNA", at positions 1 to 466 of the family's 1533-position model. The record is from RNAcentral. Lineage: Bacteria; Pseudomonadati; Pseudomonadota; Gammaproteobacteria; Enterobacterales; Enterobacteriaceae.
AAAUUGAAGAGUUUGAUCAUGGCUCAGAUUGAACGCUGGCGGCAGGCCUAACACAUGCAAGUCGAACGGUAACAGGAAGCAGCUUGCUGCUUUGCUGACGAGUGGCGGACGGGUGAGUAAUGUCUGGGAAACUGCCUGAUGGAGGGGGAUAACUACUGGAAACGGUGGCUAAUACCGCAUAACGUCGCAAGACCAAAGAGGGGGACCUUCGGGCCUCUUGCCAUCAGAUGUGCCCAGAUGGGAUUAGCUGGUUGGUGAGGUAACGGCUCACCAAGGCGACGAUCCCUAGCUGGUCUGAGAGGAUGACCAGCCACACUGGAACUGAGACACGGUCCAGACUCCUACGGGAGGCAGCAGUGGGGAAUAUUGCACAAUGGGCGCAAGCCUGAUGCAGCCAUGCCGCGUGUAUGAAGAAGGCCUUCGGGUUGUAAAGUACUUUCAGCGGGGAGGAAGGUGUUGUGGUUAAUAA